RNAcentral lists this ribosomal RNA (372 nucleotides) under uncultured bacterium. RNAcentral describes it as "partial 16S ribosomal RNA". It matches the Rfam family "Bacterial small subunit ribosomal RNA", at positions 338 to 707 of the family's 1533-position model. The record is from RNAcentral.
CCUACGGGAGGCAGCAGUGAGGAAUAUUGGUCAAUGGGCGCGAGCCUGAACCAGCAAAGUAGCGUGAAGGAUGACUGCCCUACGGGUGGUAAACUUCUUUUAUAAAGGUAUACAGUGUGGCACGUGUGCCUUUUUGUGUGUACUUUAUGAAUGAGCAUCGGCUAACUCGGUUCCAGCAGCCGCGGUAAUACGGAGGAGCCGAGCGUUAUCCGGAUUUCUUGGGUGUAUAGGGAGAGUAGAUGGGUUAGUAAGGCAGUUGUGCAAGUCUGCGGCUCCACCGUAAAGUUACAAUUGAUACUGGUAGAGUAGAGUGCAGUAGAGGUAGGUGGAAUGCGUAGUGGAGCGGUGGAAUGCUUAGAUAUUAGGAGGAAC